This 499-nucleotide ribosomal RNA is filed under the name uncultured bacterium. RNAcentral describes it as "bacterial SSU rRNA". It matches the Rfam family "Bacterial small subunit ribosomal RNA", at positions 45 to 524 of the family's 1533-position model. The record is from RNAcentral.
GGCCUAACACAUGCAAGUCGAGCGAGAAAGGGGAAACCCCNGGUAAAGCGGCGCACGGGUGAGUAACACGUAGGUAAUUUACCCCCAGGUGGUGGAUAACCUUCCGAAAGGAGGGCUAAUACAGCAUAAGACCACGUCUUCGCAAGGAGAUGAGGUCAAAGCCGGCCUCUUCACGAAAGCUGGCGCCAGGGGAUGAGCCUGCGGCCCAUCACGGUAGUUGGUAGGGUAAUGGCCUACCAAGCCUAAGACGGGUAGCUGGUCUGAGAGGAUGAUCAGCCACACUGGAACUGAGACACGGUCCAGACUCCUACGGGAGGCAGCAGUGGGGAAUCUUGCGCAAUGGGCGAAAGCCUGACGCAGCGACGCCGCGUGAGUGAUGAAGGCCUUCGGGUUGUAAAGCUCUGUGGGGAGGGACGAAUAAGUGCUGGCUAAUAUCCAGCGCGAUGACGGUACCUCUUUAGCAAGCACCGGCUAACUCUGUGCCAGCAGCCGCGGUAAU